CCUACGGGAUGCAGCAGUAGGGAAUCUCCGGCAAUGGACGAAAGUCUGACCGAGCAACGCCGCGUGAGUGAAGAAGGUUUUCGGAUCGUAAAACUCUGUUGUUAGAGAAGAACAAGUAGGAGAGUAACUGCUCUUACCUUGACGUUAUCUAACCAGAAAGCCACGGCUAACUACGUGCCAGCAGCCGCGGUAAUACGUAGGUGGCAAGCGUUGUCCGGAUUUAUUGGGCGUAAAGCGAGCGCAGGCGGUCUUUUAAGUCUGAUGUGAAAGCCCUCGGCUCAACCGAGGAAGGUCAUUGGAAACUGGAGGACUUGGGUGCAGAAGAGGAGAGUGGAAUUCCAUGUGUAGCGGUGAAUGCGUAGAUAUAUGGAGGAACACCAGUGGCGAAGGCGACUCUCUGGUCUGUAACUGACGCUGAGGCUCGAAAGCGUGGGGAGCAAACAGGAUUAGAUACCCCAGUAGUC
RNAcentral lists this ribosomal RNA (464 nucleotides) under uncultured bacterium. RNAcentral describes it as "bacterial SSU rRNA". It matches the Rfam family "Bacterial small subunit ribosomal RNA", at positions 338 to 795 of the family's 1533-position model. The record is from RNAcentral.